Molecule: transfer RNA, 71 nt
Filed under: Paramecium bursaria Chlorella virus CVB-1
Lineage: Varidnaviria; Bamfordvirae; Nucleocytoviricota; Megaviricetes; Algavirales; Phycodnaviridae
Also listed under: 1 other name
Description: tRNA-Gly
Rfam family: tRNA
About the family: Transfer RNA (tRNA) molecules are approximately 80 nucleotides in length. Their secondary structure includes four short double-helical elements and three loops (D, anti-codon, and T loops).
Source: RNAcentral
GGCACGUUAAUAUAAUGGUAGUAUAGAGGUCUUCCAAACCUCCAGCCGGGGUUCGAUUCCCCGACGUGUCA